CGGGGCGUAGUGAAGUCAGGUCAUCACGCCAGUUUUGGGAACUGGAAACCCUCGGUUCAAAUCCGAGCGCCCCGA
This 75-nucleotide transfer RNA is filed under the name bacterium ADurb.Bin236. RNAcentral's name for it is "tRNA-Pro". It matches the Rfam family "tRNA". Rfam says of the family: Transfer RNA (tRNA) molecules are approximately 80 nucleotides in length. Their secondary structure includes four short double-helical elements and three loops (D, anti-codon, and T loops). Further hydrogen bonds mediate the characteristic L-shaped molecular structure. tRNAs have two regions of fundamental functional importance: the anti-codon, which is responsible for specific mRNA codon recognition, and the 3' end, to which the tRNAs corresponding amino acid is attached (by aminoacyl-tRNA synthetases). tRNAs cope with the degeneracy of the genetic code in two manners: having more than one tRNA (with a specific anti-codon) for a particular amino acid; and 'wobble' base-pairing, i.e. permitting non-standard base-pairing at the 3rd anti-codon position. RNAcentral also lists the same sequence under 1 other name. The record is from RNAcentral.